Molecule: ribosomal RNA, 484 nt
Filed under: uncultured bacterium
Lineage: Bacteria
Description: partial 16S ribosomal RNA
Rfam family: Bacterial small subunit ribosomal RNA
Source: RNAcentral
AUUGAACGCUGGCGGCAGGCCUAACACAUGCAAGUCGAGCGGAUGAAGGGAGCUUGCUCCUGGCUUCAGCGGCGGACGGGUGAGUAAUGCCUAGGAAUCUGCCUGGUAGUUGGGGAUAACGUCAGGAAACGGGCGCUAAUACCGCAUACGUCCUGAUGGAGAAAGGGGGGGAUCUUCAGACCUCGCGCUAUCAGAUGAGCCUAGGUCGGAUUAGCUAGUUGGUGGGGUAAAGGCCUACCAAGGCGACGAUCCGUAACUGGUCUGAGAGGAUGAUCAGUCACACUGGAACUGAGACACGGUCCAGACUCCUACGGGAGGCAGCAGUGGGGAAUAUUGGACAAUGGGCGAAAGCCUGAUCCAGCCAUGCCGCGUGUGUGAAGAAGGUCUUCGGAUUGUAAAGCACUUUUAGUUGGGAAGAAGGGCAGUAAGUUAAUACCUGGCUGUUUUGACGGUACCAACAGAAUAAGCACCGGCUAACUUCGUG